This 450-nucleotide ribosomal RNA is filed under the name uncultured bacterium. RNAcentral describes it as "bacterial SSU rRNA". It matches the Rfam family "Bacterial small subunit ribosomal RNA", at positions 29 to 523 of the family's 1533-position model. The record is from RNAcentral.
AACGAACGCUGGCGGCAGGCCUAACACAUGCAAGUCGAACGCCCUAGCAAUAGGGAGUGGCGCACGGGUGCGUAACGCGUGGGAAUAUGCCCUUCACUGCGGAAUAACGUUUGGAAACGAACGCUAAUACCGCAUAAUGACUCCGGUCCAAAGAUUUAUCGGUGAAGGAUUAGCCCGCGUUAGAUUAGCUAGUUGGUGAGGUAAUGGCUCACCAAGGCGACGAUCUAUAGCUGGUCUGAGAGGAUGAUCAGCCACACUGGGACUGAGACACGGCCCAGACUCCUACGGGAGGCAGCAGUGAGGAAUAUUGGACAAUGGGCGCAAGCCUGAUCCAGCCAUGCCGCGUGAGUGAAGAAGGCCUUCGGGUUGUAAAGCUCUUUCAGAUGUGAAGAUAAUGACGGUAGCAUCAGAAGAAGCCCCGGCCUAAAUUCGUGCCAGCAGCCGCGGUAA